RNAcentral lists this ribosomal RNA (253 nucleotides) under uncultured bacterium. RNAcentral describes it as "partial 16S ribosomal RNA". It matches the Rfam family "Bacterial small subunit ribosomal RNA", at positions 524 to 776 of the family's 1533-position model. The record is from RNAcentral.
UACAGACGGUCCAAACGUUAUUCGGAAUCACUGGGCUUAAAGAGUUCGUAGGCGGUCAGGAAAGUGGGGUGUGAAAGCCCUCGGCUUAACCGGGGAAUUGCGCUCCAAACUCCCUGACUUGAGGAGGCUAGAGGUAAGCGGAACUGAUGGUGGAGCGGUGAAAUGCGUUGAUAUCAUCAGGAACACCGGAGGCGAAGGCGGCUUACUGGGGCCUUUCUGACGCUGAGGAACGAAAGCUAGGGGAGCGAACGGG